Molecule: ribosomal RNA, 397 nt
Filed under: uncultured bacterium
Lineage: Bacteria
Description: partial 16S ribosomal RNA
Rfam family: Bacterial small subunit ribosomal RNA
Source: RNAcentral
AUGCGUAGGGGGCGAGCGUUGUCCGGAAUGAUUGGGCGUAAAGGGCGCGUAGGCGGCCCGGUAAGUCUGGAGUGAAAGUCCUGUUUAUAAGAUGGGAAUUGCUUUGGAUACUGUCGGGCUUGAGUGCAGGAGAGGUAAGUGGAAUUCCCAGUGUAGCGGUGAAAUGCGUAGAGAUUGGGAGGAACACCAGUGGCGAAGGCGACUUACUGGACUGUAACUGACGCUGAGGCGCGAAAGUGUGGGGAGCAAACAGGAUUAGAUACCCUGGUAGUCCACACUGUAAACGAUGAAUGCUAGGUGUAGGGGGUAUCGACCCCUUCUGUGCCGCAGUCAACACAAUAAGCAUUCCGCCUGGGGAGUACGGCCGCAAGGUUAAAACUCAAAGGAAUUGACGGGG